Long non-coding RNA from Sitophilus oryzae (rice weevil), 1083 nucleotides. RefSeq lists it as uncharacterized. The transcript is spliced from 3 exons. NCBI's taxonomy places the organism in Eukaryota, Metazoa, Arthropoda, Insecta, Coleoptera, Curculionidae. The record is from RefSeq and is a predicted model, not a curated record.
UAUUAGUUCUGUGACGAACCACCGGUCGCGCUUAAGGCGAAAAUAUUUAGGCAGUUCAAAUCAAAUCAAGUCAGUUCUAAUCAAAUAAUAUGUACCGUCAAAAAUCGAAAAAAGUUUUACUGGAAUUUUAGUGAUUAUUUAAACUUUUUAUUAAAAACAAUGAUGGAAUCAGGCCGUAAACCCUUUCAUAAUUAUGUUGUUCCGAUGUCGGAUUUGUUUUCCAAAAGACAUACAUUCUCGAAGAACGGUCCUACAUUAUUUCAAAACUGAUAUCAAGUGCGAAACCUUAAAAUGGAAAAUACAACACAGCAAGAUAUUUAAAAGAUUUAUAGAGUUUGUGAUUUACAUUUUUGUAAUCAAGAUCGUACCUGGAAUAAAAAGAGGUUUAGAAGUUAAUUCUAAAGUUUUUAUAUACACCAGUUCAUAUGGAUUUUUUAAAUUGUAUCUAUCAUUUUAGAGAAAGGAUCAGAUAACCCAAAUCAGGAAUCUUCCAAAGUGCAGAUGAUGCAGUUUUUGUGAGUGAGGUAUAAUAUCUGUCUCUUGUAAGACCUCUUUUAAGAAUUUAACCCAGGCAGUUGUUUACAACCAAAUUAGAUCUCAAGCAUAGCAAAGGAAUGGUACAACCUGUGAAUUCAGUUUAAUUACUGAGAUCACGGAUGAUGAAACAUUCAUUAUGAUUAUACAGAGCUACAAAGAGUUAUGUUGAGAAUCCAAAUUAUUAUAAUGAAUUGAGACGAGACAACACCUGGGUGGAAAUUGAGGAAACAUGCAGAUAAAAGGCAUUUUUAUAUUAACGUUAUGAAUCCAAUGUUUUUAUCAAAUCGUCACAUAGAUAAUAUUUCUCUACGCAUAAUACUAAAAUUAAAAAGGUCAGGUUAAAACAACUUUAAUUAUCCAUCGCGUGCGAAAAACAGUGCUUCGCAUGGCUUACAUUAUCUCUAUACAAAAGUGCUUCGUUUGUCCGCUAGAGGCAUCAAACUUUAAAGAAACAAACAAAUUUUUUAAGGAUAAUUUAAUACUUAGUAAGUAUAUUAGAAGAACCCUUGAUCCGAUUUGAAUAAUAUUUUGGGUGUCUAUGUUUGC